GGAGAGUGUAAGAGAUUUUGCAGGUGGUCCUAGGAAAUGGAAGAGAACCAAGAAUAGUGGUCAGGGAACCGGAUGAGCAGAAGGUGAACUGUUCUUCAGUAUAAAGUGGGGAAGCAGAAAGAGACCGAUUACGUCUUUGUAACAUAUACCACAAGAAACCCUGUUGCUGAGGAAGAAAGAAGAGGGCAUAGGGAGAGGACUGCAUCUGGCUAUCUGUUUUGCAUCCAGGAAUUUUGACAUUUUGAAACUUGUUUCCUUCCGAAGCAGAAUGAUUUGCAGCACCUUUGCAAAUCCUGAAAAGGUCUGUGCCAU
Molecule: long non-coding RNA, 312 nt
Organism: Numida meleagris (helmeted guineafowl)
Lineage: Eukaryota; Metazoa; Chordata; Aves; Galliformes; Numididae
Exons: 4
Source: RefSeq, a predicted model, not a curated record